AGCGAACGCUGGCGGCAGGCCUAACACAUGCAAGUCGAACGAACUCUUCGGAGUUAGUGGCGGACGGGUGAGUAACACGUGGGAACGUGCCUUUUGGUUCGGAAUAACUCAGGGAAACUUGUGCUAAUACCUAAUGUGCCCUUCGGGGGAAAGAUUUAUCGCCAUUAGAGCGGCCCGCGUCUGAUUAGCUAGUUGGUGAGGUAACGGCUCACCAAGGCGACGAUCAGUAGCUGGUCUGAGAGGAUGACCAGCCACACUGGGACUGAGACACGGCCCAGACUCCUACGGGAGGCAGCAGUGGGGAAUCUUGCGCAAUGGGCGAAAGCAUGACGCAGCCAUGCCGCGUGAAUGAUGAAGGUCUUAGGAUUGUAAAAUUCUUUAACAGGGGACGAUAAUGACGGUACCCGGAGAAGAAGCCACGGCUAACUUCGUG
RNAcentral lists this ribosomal RNA (433 nucleotides) under uncultured bacterium. RNAcentral's name for it is "partial 16S ribosomal RNA". It matches the Rfam family "Bacterial small subunit ribosomal RNA", at positions 29 to 507 of the family's 1533-position model. The record is from RNAcentral.